AUGCUUAAAUUAGUUCUCCACAGAAAUAAAUAGUUAAGAUUUGAGCUCUCAAAAAGAAAUUAGUGAUAAUAUGGAGUCAAGUAUGAAGUGUGGUGAGGUUUGAGAUGGAGCGUGGGGUUCCGACUGAUGUCAUGUAGGGUUGAAGGAUGUUUUUAUAAAAUGGGAGAUGCUCGAAAUUUUAUAAAAGAGAUGGAUUCAAUUAAUGUAGGAUCAAUUUUCGAAAAAGAGCACGCGGGAGU
Molecule: long non-coding RNA, 239 nt
Filed under: Elaeis guineensis (African oil palm)
Lineage: Eukaryota; Viridiplantae; Streptophyta; Magnoliopsida; Arecales; Arecaceae
Description: long non-coding RNA (EGUI_LNC020482)
Source: RNAcentral